GCCCGAAUGGUCCAGAGGUACGAUUCAUCCUUCGGGGUUGAGCACCGCAUGGUGUACGCUUCGGCUCUCAAAAGAGCUCUGUAUGGAUGAGACCCGCGUUCGAGUCGCGGUUCGGGCC
This 118-nucleotide transfer RNA is filed under the name Aspergillus novofumigatus IBT 16806. RNAcentral describes it as "tRNA-Pro". Lineage: Eukaryota; Fungi; Ascomycota; Eurotiomycetes; Eurotiales; Aspergillaceae. The record is from RNAcentral.